This 251-nucleotide ribosomal RNA is filed under the name uncultured bacterium. Its description in RNAcentral is "partial 16S ribosomal RNA". It matches the Rfam family "Bacterial small subunit ribosomal RNA", at positions 15 to 244 of the family's 1533-position model. The record is from RNAcentral.
GAUCCUGGCUCAGGAUGAACGCUGGCGGCGUGCUUAAUACAUGCAAGUCGAACGAAGCACCUUGGACAGAAUCCUUCGGGAGGAAGACCAUUGUGACUGAGUGGCGGACGGGUGAGUAACGCGUGGGUAACCUGCCUUGUACGAGGGGGAUAACAGUUGGAAACGACUGCUAAUACCGCAUAAGCGCACAGUACCGCAUGGUACGGUGUAGAAAAACUCCGGUGGUACAAGAUGGACCCGCGUCUGAUUAG